AACGAACGCUGGCGGCAUGCCUAACACAUGCAAGUCGAACGAGACCUUCGGGUCUAGUGGCGCACGGGUGCGUAACGCGUGGGAACCUGCCUUUAGGUUCGGAAUAACUCAGAGAAAUUUGAGCUAAUACCGGAUGAUGUCUUCGGACCAAAGAUUUAUCGCCUUUAGAUGGGCCCGCGUUGGAUUAGCUAGUUGGUGGGGUAAAGGCCUACCAAGGCGACGAUCCAUAGCUGGUCUGAGAGGAUGAUCAGCCACACUGGGACUGAGACACGGCCCAGACUCCUACGGGAGGCAGCAGUGGGGAAUAUUGGACAAUGGGCGAAAGCCUGAUCCAGCAAUGCCGGGUGAGUGAUGAAGGCCUUAGGGUUGUAAAGCUCUUUUACCCGAGAUGAUAAUGACAGUAUCGGGAGAAUAAGCUCCGGCUAACUCCGUG
This 433-nucleotide ribosomal RNA is filed under the name uncultured bacterium. Its description in RNAcentral is "partial 16S ribosomal RNA". It matches the Rfam family "Bacterial small subunit ribosomal RNA", at positions 29 to 507 of the family's 1533-position model. The record is from RNAcentral.